AGGCAGUUAACCCACUGUUCCCCUGAACAGGCAGUUAACCCACUGUUCCCCUGAACAGGCAGUUAACCCACUGUUCCCCUGAACAAGGCAGUUAACCCACUGUUCCCCUGAACAAGGCAGUUAACCCACUGUUCCCCUGAACAAGGCAGUUAACCCACUGUUCCCCUGAACAAGGCAGUUAACCCACUGUUCCCCUGAACAGGCAGUUAACCCACUGUUCCCCUGAACAGGCAGUUAACCCACUGUUCCCCUGAACAAGGCAGUUAACCCACUGUUCCUGGGCUGUCAUUGAAAAUAAGAAUGUAUUCUUAACUGACUUGUCUAUUUAAAUAAAAGGUAAAAAAAUAAAUGAAAGAGUAGACCUUGUUCCAGUGCAACCCAGGAACGCUCUGUUCCCAUCCAGAGGGUGAUGUUCCCUUUCAAGGCCUCACUUCAGACAACUCCUUGGGUGGAGCAGCCGAGUACAACACUAGUCAUAGUUAAUCAUGCAAUGACUCAGCACUUCUCAUGGACCCCAAACCAAACAGCACAAUGACAAGUUAGCCUGAGAGCCAGUCUGUUUGACAGUGUUAAACCAACUCCUUGACAAUGACAGAUAUGGGUUGGGCAAGACCACAAACAGAUCUGGGACCAGGCUUUACAACAAGUACGACUAACUAGUAAGACUUUUAUUGUAUUAAAUAUUUAAUUUUCCAAGAGCAAUGUACAAUUUGCAACUUAUUGAAAACAGGGAAAUAUGCCUGGUUGUCGUACAAGAACAGAAGACAUUUACUAGAAAAAGCUGGAGGAAACAGAACAAACAAAAAUCAGAAAUCUGCACAUCUCUUUCCAUACAAGACGGAAUUGUUUAUAAUUCAUUCCGGAACCGGAGUUUGGAUAUUCCGGAAUACCCAGCUCCCUCGGGUGGAGAACAAGUUGUUUGUUCUGACGUAGGCUCACAAUAAGCAAAACAGUGGUAAAACUAACUACAAAUUAUUAAUAUAUAUUUUUUUUAAACAUCCAAAACAUUUCCAUUCACUCAAAAGAGAAAACUGCAUUGUAAUAUUUUCUUCUGUUUUAAAUUUAGCCGUAAAAUGAACAAGAGGGAGAAGUUUCAAAUAAAUAGAUACAUUUUUAUCAGUGCCGAUUUUCAAUCCUCAAGUUUUAAAUCCAUAUAAUUUAGUUAAAAAAACAAUAACACAAAGAACUGACAUAUUUUGAACUUCCUUUUAUAAGUUAAUGAUUGAAAAACAAACACUUAUCAAUCUAAAGUAGAUGUCUAACCUUAAACCUGACGUAAGGCGCCUUCUUGUCUGAAAAUAUCCUUCUGUCUCUGUAGUGAAACUUUAAGACUGGUCCCAGAUCUGUAUAUCUACAUCCCAAAUGGCACCCUAUUCCCUAUAUAGUGCACAGCUUCUGACCAGAGGCACCCUAUUCCCUAUAUAGUGCACAGCUUCUGACCAGAGGCACCCUAUUCCCUAUAUAGUGCACAGCUUCUGACCAGAGGCACCCUAUUCCCUAUAUAGUGCACAGCUUCUGACCGGAGGCACCCUAUUCCCUACAUAGUGCACUACUUUAGACCAGGUCCCAUAGGGUAGUUCAAUGUAAACGGGAACGGGGUGCCAUUUGGGAUGCCCAGUUUGUAUUUUAGAGACAAGUCUUGUCACAAUAAUAGUCAGAGGAAUUGCCUCCAACGACAAGCAGAUCUGAGACCAGGAGAAACAUGGCACCUUCAGUCACACAGCAGCAAUACAGUAGCAUGGCUAUAGAGGUCUUCUCUCUCUGACCAGCCUAUUCCCCAUGUAGUUCACUACCUUUUAACACCUUAUCCCCCAUGUAGUGCCCUACUUUAUAACACCUUAUCCCCC
Molecule: long non-coding RNA, 1847 nt
Organism: Oncorhynchus tshawytscha (Chinook salmon)
Lineage: Eukaryota; Metazoa; Chordata; Actinopteri; Salmoniformes; Salmonidae
Source: Ensembl